UGCUGGCAGCAAGUACAAUAAAAAAAAAAGCCUGAAAAUGACAGGGGGGGCACGUGCCUUGGUGCCCCCUCCCUGAAUCCGCCAAUGGCUGCGGGCACAAGAUCUUAAAUGCUGCCUGCACUGUUUAUCUAUCCGCGCUGUCCAUCUCAGGCUGCUGCUCCCCCCCCCCCGGUAUCAGGAUCACUCUCUGUACCCUGUUCUCAGGCUCCAGCUCUCCCCUGGUCUCAGUAAUCAGGCUCCUGAGGCUGCCCAGGAUGCGGUGAUGGUGUUGCUAUUACAACCUGCAGGUGACGGAAAAGUUUUUACCGGAACUGAAGCAUCCUUUCCAUGCCACCAUGUUGAGUGUCCAGCCUUAUUUACCUCAGAGAUCAAUGGGGCAAAAGACAGACGAUCAAUCAGGCUGGAGAGAGGAAACAAGACAUGAAGAAACCUUUACCCUCUAAUAGGGAUGAGCACAGAGGGAAACAGAGGCAGCAGGCCCUUCGGAUGCCUGCAAUUGUUUAGUGUUGGUUACUAUGACGAUCUCCCUGUCCCGCGGCGCACCGUGACGUCAUCACUCUGCGACACGGAAGCGUGCAGCAUGUGCGGGCGGGCGGCGGCGCCGUGAGGACAGGUGAGUACAAUCUUUGUACUAAUGUUGUUUUGUCUGUGGUGUAUAUAAAUGUCAUAUGUAGAUGCUUUUAUUGUUGUUUGAGCCCUGAGGACGGGGUGAUUUUCCCCGAAACAUGUAGGCGAUUAAAGGAAAUUUUAUCUUCAUAACGACUAAGUCUGCUUGAGUGCCGCCGUUCAUUCACUACCUAUGCUAGUCACAUUGCUGACUUGGAGGGCACCGCAGCAAAGGAACUCGUUGUCGUCUCUGGGA
Molecule: long non-coding RNA, 862 nt
Organism: Pseudophryne corroboree (corroboree frog)
Lineage: Eukaryota; Metazoa; Chordata; Amphibia; Anura; Myobatrachidae
Exons: 3
Source: RefSeq, a predicted model, not a curated record